This 510-nucleotide unclassified non-coding RNA is filed under the name Hevea brasiliensis (rubber tree). Lineage: Eukaryota; Viridiplantae; Streptophyta; Magnoliopsida; Malpighiales; Euphorbiaceae. The record is from RNAcentral.
AUACUCAUCAACCUCUACACCUGCCCCGACCCAUUUCUUGGUGAAAUACCUUGUUGAUUCUCUCGGAUUCUCCGAUGAAGAAGCUGCCUCUACAUCCUCCAAGGUAACUUCAUUGAAAAACUUAAAGAAUCCUCAUUUAGUCAUCAAUUUCUUGAAACAAACUGGUUUCCACAACACCCAGGUGAAAAAACUGGUUUUUAUGGCACCCAAAUUGCUAUACCAUGAUGUUAACAAAACCCUAAAACCCAAAUUCCAGUGCCUUAUGGAUCUCGGGCUAUCCGGGUCGGACCUGGCGAAGUUAACCACUAAAGAUACAACAAUUGUUGAAAAAGGUUUAGUUACUCAUUUGAGACCUACCAUUGAUUUCCUUAGGAAAAUUAUGGGUAGUGAUGAAGAUGUAGUUAAGGCUAUAAAGAAAAGUUCUUGGUUGAUUUCUUUUAAUGCUCAUCAAAUUAUGAAGAAUAAUGUAGUGUUAUUGAGAAACUCUGGUGUUUCUGAUGUCAAAAUAAG